UGGGGAAUCAUGGUCAAUGGGAGAAAUCCUGAAGCAGCAACGCCGCGUGGAGGAUGAAGGGCUUUCAGCUUGUAAACUCCUGUAAAGAAGGAAAAAAUUCCCAUUAGAUGGGAAAUGAUGGUACUUCUAAAGUAAGCCCCGGCUAACUACGUGCCAGCAGCCGCGGUAAUACGUAGGGGGCAAGCGUUGUCCGGAUUUACUGGGUGUAAAGGGUGCUCAGGCGGAUUUGUAAGUCAGAGGUGAAAUCUCACAGCUUAACUGUGAAACUGCCUUUGAUACUGCAAGUCUAGAGUAUGGAAGAGAGUGAUGGAAUGUCUGGUGUAGCAGUGAAAUGCGUAGAUAUCAGAUAGAACACCAAUGGCGAAGGCAGUCACUUGGUCCAUUACUGACGCUAAAGCACGAAAGCGUGGGUAGCAAACA
This 420-nucleotide ribosomal RNA is filed under the name uncultured prokaryote. Its description in RNAcentral is "bacterial SSU rRNA". It matches the Rfam family "Bacterial small subunit ribosomal RNA", at positions 355 to 774 of the family's 1533-position model. The record is from RNAcentral.